GAUGAACGCUAGCGGCAGGCCUAACACAUGCAAGUCGAGGGGCAGCACAGAAACAGCAAUGUUUUGAUGGCGACCGGCGGACGGGUGCGUAACGCGUAUGCAACCUACCUUUAACAGGGGGAUAACGGAGAGAAAUUUCCACUAAUACCCCAUAACAUCGAUCAAGGCAUCUUGAUUGGUUGAAAACUCCGGUGGUUAAAGAUGGGCAUGCGUUGUAUUAGGUAGUUGGUGAGGUAAUGGCUCACCAAGCCUACGAUACUUAGGGGGACUGAGAGGUUAGCCCCCCACACUGGUACUGAGACACGGACCAGACUCCUACGGGAGGCAGCAGUGAGGAAUAUUGGUCAAUGGGGGCAACCCUGAACCAGCCAUGCCGCGUGCAGGAAGACGGCUCUAUGAGUUGUAAACUGCUUUUAAACAGGGAUAAAGCACAGUACGUAUACUGUGUUGAAGGUACUGUAAGAAUAAGGAUCGGCUAACUCCGUGCCAGCAGCCGCCGCAG
RNAcentral lists this ribosomal RNA (502 nucleotides) under uncultured bacterium. RNAcentral describes it as "partial 16S ribosomal RNA". It matches the Rfam family "Bacterial small subunit ribosomal RNA", at positions 28 to 523 of the family's 1533-position model. The record is from RNAcentral.